Long non-coding RNA from Patella vulgata (common limpet), 444 nucleotides. RefSeq lists it as uncharacterized. Lineage: Eukaryota; Metazoa; Mollusca; Gastropoda; Patellidae. The transcript has 3 exons. The record is from RefSeq and is a predicted model, not a curated record.
UCAUAGUGCACCGGGAUUUUAUCAAAAAAGAGUAAAAGUUGGGGAAAGGCGCCAUCACAUUUUUUGUACUGAUAGACAGAUGCAACUACUCGCACGCGCAAAAACUUGGUAUAUGGAUGCAUCUUUUCGGGUGGUGAACAAGCCAUGGUCUCAGCUGUUUUCCAUCCACGCCUUCAUUAAGACUGGAGAGACCACCCGACAGUUACCAUUGGUGUUUUGUGUAAUGUCGGGUAAAAGCCAAGACGACUAUUAUAAGUCAGUGAUGAUAUGUGACUCUUUCCACCUUCCAGCAAUAAUUAUUGAGAAUUUACCAAGGACUCCAUUGGCAUUGAAUCGAAGAAAAACAGUUUCAAUAUUGGAUGUAUAUGCAAAUCACCCAGAAAAAGAUCAUGUAAUAACAAAAGAAAUUAUAAAAGAAAAAAAUGGAAGAAGAAAUGGCUGAAA